Molecule: ribosomal RNA, 246 nt
Filed under: uncultured bacterium
Lineage: Bacteria
Description: partial 16S ribosomal RNA
Rfam family: Bacterial small subunit ribosomal RNA
Source: RNAcentral
GUAGGGGGCAAGCGUUAUCCGGAUUUACUGGGUGUAAAGGGAGCGUAGACGGCAGGGCAAGUCUGGAGUGAAAGGCAGGGGCCCAACCCCUGGACUGCUCUGGAAACUGUCCGGCUGGAGUGCAGGAGAGGUAAGUGGAAUUCCUAGUGUAGCGGUGAAAUGCGUAGAUAUUAGGAGGAACACCAGUGGCGAAGGCGGCUUACUGGACUGUAACUGACGUUGAGGCUCGAAAGCGUGGGGAGCAAA